AUUUGCUUCCGGACUUCUUUUUUUUUUUUAACUCGCUUGACUUGACUUCCUUGUUCGCGCAGAAAGAGGAACUAACAACACUGCAGCGCUUCUUUUAUUACAAUGGAGACAGAAUAAUCUUUUCUGCGUACAAGCUGCAGAGAUGGCGCAUUGGGUGCAGCAGGGAGAGAUGACGGAGUACAGGAAGAGUAUGAUCAAACGGGAGAUGGAGAUGGGCAUGGUCAUGACGGUCUUCAGGCAGAAGGUGGAGAGACUUACUGUGCAGGUCAUCAUGGAAACACGUCAGAUUGCGUGGACACGUACCGCGGACAAGACUGAUGGUGUCUUGGACCUAUUUGAGAUCAAAGAAGUUCGUCCAGGCAGAAAUUCCAAAGACUUUGAGCGCUUGAAAGAUGGCAAAGAUAAACAUGAGGAGAAUACUUGUUUCACCAUCUUCUAUGGCUCACAAUUUGUCCUCAACACCUUGAGUCUGGGAGCCGAUUCUGUGGAUGAUGCACAUAAAUGGCUAUAUGGACUUGAAAUGUUAGUUCAAGAGACACUGGCCACUCCAACUCCAGUUGUCAUUGACAGCUGGCUAAGAAAGAAGAUGUAUUCUGUCAAUCAGACAAAAACAAACAGCAUAUCCAUGAAAGAGCUGAAGACCCUUCUUCCUUUGCUCAACUACAAGCCUCCUAAUGCUCGCUCUCUGAAAGAAAAAUUCCUGGAAGUGGGAGCAAAACACGAUCGUUUGGACUUUGAGCAGUUUCAUAAAUUGUACAACCUAAUAAUGUUUGAACAAAAUGAGAUUCUUGACGAGUUGAAAAAAGAUGGCUCUUUUAUUUUGGGUAAUACAGACAAGCCUGACGCCUCGGUCGUUCUGCUCCACGACUUCCAAAGAUUUCUCAUCUAUCAGCAGAAGGAGUCUUGGGCUAGCGAUCUGAAUCAGGUGAAAGAGUUGAUGACCACUUUCAUUGACGACACCAUGAGAAAAACCAAUGACCCUGAGUUCACCGUCAGUGAGUUCCUCAGCUUCCUGUUUUCUAAGGAGAACUCUUUAUGGGAUGAGAAGUUGUCCGACAUUAACAAUCAAGACAUGAACAACCCUUUGUCUCACUACUGGAUCAAUUCAUCACACAACACUUACCUGACAGGUGACCAGCUUCGUAGUGAGUCUUCCACAGAGGCCUAUGUGCGCUGUCUACGUAUGGGAUGUCGCUGUGUUGAAUUGGAUUGCUGGGAAGGGCCAGGAGAACCCAUCAUCUAUCAUGGCUGGACCAGGACCACCAAAAUCAAGUUUGAAGAUGUGGUGAAAGCCAUCAAUCAACAUGCUUUUGUGACUUCUGAGUUCCCAGUCAUACUGUCCAUCGAAGAGCAUUGCCCACUAGAGCAGCAGCGUCAAAUGGCUCGAAUCUUCAGGGACGUUUUUGGAGACAAACUACUAAUUGACCCAGUGGAGCAAAUGGCUGAGCAGCUACCUUCUCCCACACAACUGAAGGGCAAAAUUAUCCUCAAACAUAAGAAGCUCAGUGUUGAUGGUAGUGUUGUCACCAAAGACUUCAGGACUUGGCAGAAACAAGGAGACUUGGAGAUGUGGGAUCCUGUGAAUCAGUGCUGGAAUAAGCACUACUGUGUGAUCUCCAAUGACAUGCUGUACUACGCUGAGGAGUAUGAGGAAGAAAAGGAAGACCUCAAGAAGUACCAGGACCUGCAAUGUGAGGACACGUGGUUCCAUGGUCACAUAAAAGAAGGCAGACAAAUGGCAGAGCAACUGAUCCAUGACUACUGUACAGACAUGAGAGGAAGAGACGGAACCUUUUUGGUCCGACAAAGUGAUCGUGUUGCUACAGACUACACUCUCUCCUUCUGGCGCAGUGGGAGAGUCCAGCAUUGCCGUAUUCGAUCUUUUUCAGAGGGACAAAACACAAAUUACUACCUGACUGCAAACCUGCACUUCACCAGCGUAUAUUCGCUGAUUCAGCACUACAGAGAGAACCCUCUACGCUGUCAAGACUUUGAGCUGCGUCUCACUGACCCUGUACCACAUCCCAAUCCACAUCUGCAACAAGGGUGGUUCUACAGUAAUUUGAGCAGAGGCGAGGCAGAGGAUUAUCUGCUUCGAAUUCCCAGAGAUGGAGCAUUUCUCCUCCGACAGAGAGUGGGAGAGCCUGACUCCUUCGCUAUCACUUUCAGAGGUGACGGUAAGGUGAAACAUUGUCGGAUCCAGAAGGAAGGCAGUGUUUACCUGCUGGGGACAACAACUGAGUUUGAGAGCCUAGUAGAGCUAGUAAACUACUUUAAGAAGAAACCCCUUUAUCGCAAGACCAAGCUACGAUACCCAGUCACACCAGAACUUGUGGAACGCUUCAGCACAAUUCAAGUUCCUGACUCCCUGUAUGAGAUGAAGACUUAUGUGGAGCCCAAUGAAAUUGAGUCAUCACUGCCCAAGAGUACGGCACGGGCGGUUUAUAGCUAUCAGGCCAUGAGGCACGAUGAGCUCACCUUCAGUAAAGGGGCUUUGAUACAUAAUGUGUCAAAAGACAAUGAUGGUUGGUGGAAAGGAGACCAUGGUGGAAAAGUGCAGCUUUUUUUCCCCUCCAACUAUGUUGAGGAAGUGUCCAACAACGCCAAACUUGAAAUUCGGCAACAGGGUAUGGAAGACAAUCCUUUGGGUGAACUUUGUAAGGGUGUUGUGGAUAUCUCUAAGUGCAACAUACAAAAUUUGAAAAACGGUAAAAACGGAAAACUGCACGUUUUGACCCUUCAGAAUAUGGAGCAAGACGUUCUGCAUUAUGAUUUGGCAGCAGAAUCUCUGGAGGAGCUUUUUGAUUGGUACAAGGUGGCAUGGGGCAUCACUCAGAGGGAGAUGAGCAAGCAGUUCAGUCGAGAACAAGAGAUCAGACAACAGGAGGAAGUAGAGAAGAAAGCAGAUGUUGCUAUGGAAAUGUCAGACCUGGUGGUCUACUGUCAGCCACGCAGCAAGGAGAAAGACCGCUUUGAUAGCUACAACUACAAGGAGGUUCGCUCGUUUGUAGAGAAUAAGACACCGGGAAAACAUCGGUCAAUGGAGUUCCUGCGGUACAACCACAAGGCUUUGAGUCGGAUCUACCCAAAAGGCCAACGCGUGGAGUCCUCAAACUAUGACCCCUAUCCUCUGUGGUCGGUUGGCUGUCACAUGGUGGCUCUCAACUUCCAGACGGCAGAUAAAUACACCCAGCUGAACCACGCACUCUUCAGUAUGAAUGGACAAACUGGUUAUAUUCUACAACCUGAGCUCCUGCGUUCAGAAAACUACGACCCUUUGCGGGAGAAGAAAGAGCUCAAGUACAAGAUACUACUUAAGCCCCAGAAAUAGGAGAGCCCACCACAGAUGCCCCAGGCACUGCUUCUUCAUAGGAAGACGUGUUCAGGCGGCAGAUUUUGGUCCAGAAUCGCUUCGAAGCCGUCCGGAAGUUGUUUUCCAUGGCUUUCCCGAACUCCUCCCAUGUCCUGGUUUUUGCCUCCGCAACCGCUGAAGUUGCACACCGCUUGGCCCGUCGGUACCUGUCCACUGCCUCCGGAGUCCUAUAAGCCAAAAGAACCCGAUAGGACUCCUUCUUCAGCUUGACGGCAUCCCUCACCGCUAGAGUCCACCAACGGGUUCUAGGAUUAACACCCCAAAUAGUACCGACUACCUUGCGGCCACAGCUCCAAUCAGCCGCCUCGACAAUAGAAUUGUGGAACAUGGUCCACUUGGACUCAAUGUCCAGCACCUCCCUCGUGACAUGUUCAAAGUUCUUCCAGAGGUGGGAAUUGAAACUCUCUCUGACAGGAGACUCUGCCAGACGUUCCCAGCAGACCCUCACAAUGCGUUUGGGCCUACCAGGUCUGUCCGGCAUCCUCCCCCACCAUCGCAGCCAACUCACCACCAGGUGGUGAUUGGUAGAAAGCUCCGCCCCUCUCUUCACCCGAGUGUCAAAAACAUGAGGCUGCAAAUCCGAUGACACAACUACAAAGUCGAUCGUGGAACUGCGGCUUGGAGUGUCCUGGUGCCAAGUGCACAUAUGGUCACCCUUUAUGUUUGAACAUGGUGUUUGUUAUGGACAAACUGUGACGAGCACAAAAGUCCAAUAACAAAACACCUCUCGGGUUCUGAUCCGGGCGGCCAUUCUUCUCAAUCACGCCUCUCCAGGUUUCACUGUCGUUGCCAACAUGAGCGUUGAAGUCCCCUAGCUGAACAAGGGAAUCACCUGAGGGAGCACUCUCCAGUACUCCCUCGAGUGUACCCAAAAAGGGGGGGUACUCUGAACUGCUGUUUGGUGCGUAAGCACAAACAACAGUCAGGACCCGUCCCCCCCACCCAAAGGUGGAGGGAGGCUACCCUUUCGUCCACUGGGUUGAACUCCAACGUGUAGGCUUUGACCCGGGGUGCAACAAGAAUUUCCACCCCAGCCCGAGUGGAAGAGAGUCCAUCCCCUCUCGAGAGAAGUGGUUCCAGAGCCCUUGCUGUGCGUCGAAGUGAGUCCCGACUACAUCAACUACAUCAAGCCAGAAUUUCUCUACUUCGGGCACUAGCUCCGGCUUCUUUCCCCCCCAGCGAAUUGACGUUCCACGUCCCAAGAGCUAGCUUCGGUAGCCGAGGAUUGGACCGCCAAGUGUCCUGCCUUCGGCUGCCGCCCAGCUCACAAUGCCCCUGACCUCUAUGGCCCCUGCUAUGGGUGGUGAGCCCAUUGGAGGGGUGACCCACGUUGCCUCUUCGGGCUGUGCCCGGCUGGCACCAGGCGCUCGACAUCGUGCCCCACCUCGGGGCCUGGCUCCAGAGGAGGAGUUAUCUACAAUGCAACGUGUAUAAAUGUAACGUGGUUAAAUGUUUUU
RNA transcript from Nerophis ophidion (straightnose pipefish), 4830 nucleotides. It is a transcript of the gene named phospholipase C, gamma 2, with no coding region annotated. The transcript is spliced from 30 exons. The record is from RefSeq and is a predicted model, not a curated record. Lineage: Eukaryota; Metazoa; Chordata; Actinopteri; Syngnathiformes; Syngnathidae.